Molecule: ribosomal RNA, 253 nt
Filed under: uncultured bacterium
Lineage: Bacteria
Description: partial 16S ribosomal RNA
Rfam family: Bacterial small subunit ribosomal RNA
Source: RNAcentral
UACAGAGGGUGCAAGCGUUGUUCGGAAUCAUUGGGCGUAAAGGGCGCGUAGGCGGUGAGUUAAGUCAAAUGUGAAAGCCCAGGGCUCAACCUUGGAAGUGCAUCUGAAACUGGCUCACUUGAAUCUCGGAGAGGGUGGUGGAAUUCCCAGUGUAGAGGUGAAAUUCGUAGAUAUUCGGAAGAACACCAGUGGCGAAGGCGGCUCACUGGUCCGGUACUGACGCUGAGGUGCGAAAGCGUGGGGAGCAAACAGG